ACAUCAGGCAGCACAGAGGCAGUGUAGCCAUGACAGUCUUGAGGACCGAGGACUUGGGGGCUAGCUCUCUGUGAGCCUGCCAUGCUCCCAAUGUCCGUCUUCCCUGUGGGCCACUCCACACUCAGAUUCCCAGGGAAGACAGUCUGAUGGCCUGCGUGCUCCCCUGGAAUGUGGGUGGUGAUGACAGGAACUCAGAUAUGCCAGCCCGCCAGGCUCCUGUAGAACAGGAGAGGGACGCUCCUCAGAGGAGGUGAUGCCCAGUACAAAAAUAACAGGUUCUCUGGAAUCCUCUUAGCAGGGCGUCAUUUCCAUAGAGGGGCAGACAGGAGGAAGCUGCAACCUUGGACUCGGCCACCACUCACUCUUAGGCAGCAAAUGUGUUUCAAUUAAAAAAAAAUGUUUUUUAACGUUUAUUUAUUUUGAGAGACAGACACAGAGUGUGAGAGGGAGUGGGGCAGAGAGAGAGGGAGACAUCGAAUCCGAAGCAGGAUCCAGGCCUGCUGUCAGCACAGAGCCCGACGCGGGGCUCGAACUCAUGAACCACAAGAUCGUGACCUGAGCUGAAGUUGGACGCUUAACCAACGGAGCCACCCAGGCUCUCCAAUGUGUUUUAAUUUUAAAAGAUUUUUCGCAAGGGUGGAAAACAAAGAGAAGAAAGGGAAGAAAGACGAAAUACCAAAAGCUCCUGGAAGGACCUUAAUAAGCCCCAAAUCAAAUAGGAAAACAUGGGUUACAGGUUGAAUUGUGUUCGCCCCAAAUAUAUGUUGAAGUCUUAACCCCCGGUGCCUCGGAAUGACCUUGUUUGGAAAUGGGGUUGUGGAAAAUGCAAUCAGUUCAGUUGAGAUGAGCUCACAGUGGAGUAGGUGGGCUCUUAGGCAAUACAUCUGGGGUCCUUAGAAGAGAUGCAGAGACAGAAACACACAGGAAGAAUGCCGGGGGGCAACGGGCAGAGACUGAAGUGUCACCGCUGUGAGACAAAGAACCCCGCGGAUUGCCAGCCAUCACUUGAAGCCAGGAAGAGAUGAGGCAGAUUCUCCCCUACAGGCUUCAGAGGGAGACUGGCUUUGCUGACGCCUCGAUUUUGGAUUUCUAGCUUCCAGAGCCGCGAGACAAUAAAAGUCUGUGUUUUAAGCCUC
Acinonyx jubatus (cheetah) is the source of this 1136-nucleotide long non-coding RNA. RefSeq lists it as uncharacterized. NCBI's taxonomy places the organism in Eukaryota, Metazoa, Chordata, Mammalia, Carnivora, Felidae. The record is from RefSeq and is a predicted model, not a curated record. The transcript is spliced from 2 exons.